This 129-nucleotide ribosomal RNA is filed under the name uncultured Bacteroidales bacterium. RNAcentral's name for it is "partial 16S ribosomal RNA". It matches the Rfam family "Bacterial small subunit ribosomal RNA", at positions 335 to 462 of the family's 1533-position model. Lineage: Bacteria; Pseudomonadati; Bacteroidota; Bacteroidia; Bacteroidales. The record is from RNAcentral.
UCUCNUACGGGAGGCAGCAGUGAGGAAUAUUGGUCAAUGGGCGAGAGCCUGAACCAGCCAAGUCGCGUGAGGGAUGACGGCCCUACGGGUUGUAAACCUCUUUACAAGGAAUAAAGGACNNCACGUGCU